Molecule: long non-coding RNA, 3134 nt
Organism: Antechinus flavipes (yellow-footed antechinus)
Lineage: Eukaryota; Metazoa; Chordata; Mammalia; Dasyuromorphia; Dasyuridae
Exons: 5
Source: RefSeq, a predicted model, not a curated record
UGUGCUUAUGUAGAAGCUGCAACAUUGGUGGUUGAAGCUCUAACACUUCACAGAAUGGGCUCUUUGGGUUGCCCUAGAAAUAAGGUAACUAAAACCCAUCAAUGACAAGAGAACCAAAUAUCCAUGAGGCAAAAAAACAGGACAGAGACAUCCUGGAGCCUCCAGGGAAUUCUGGACAGCAAUGGGAAAGACCUGUGUCACUUGCCAAGGAUGGAGGAUUUGGAACAAACUAAGCAUUGUUAUAGAACAGUGACUGGAAAACACCUGCCAACGGAGGAGAAUCAUAGAAACACAGAGGGGAGAUUGCACAAGUCCUGAGUAAGUGCUGUUUACUGAAUGAAGGUAUAAAAUAUCCAGAACAAAAGGAGUUGGGACUCUUCCCUGAAGUUUUGAACCACAGACCAUCAGCAUGAACAAUACUGAGAAACUAUGAUCAGUUGAAUCCAUGAUUUGUCUUGGAUUAAUAAUCCUUCCCUGCUCUGAAUGACUUUCUCCUGCUAUGACUAGAUGAAUGAGUCAAAACUGAACAACUCACAGCCAAGCAUGUGAGUGUCAAAAUGGUGGGAAGAAUUUCAUCAGAAAUUCAGCAAUUAGAGUUGCUCACAGCCAGGUUUGGGGAAGAGCCAUUGCUGAAUCAGCUUCACAGCCAUGACAUCGUGUGCACCACAUUGGCUGCACCACAUCCAGAAGUGAAUUUGAAUCAUUGAAGUCCAGUGGCAAGAUGAAAGUCAAGAUGAUUGGCAAUGACCCAGCCUACAAUGGAUGAUCUUCAAUAUCUGACCCAGCUUUAAGUGCACCACAGCACUUGCUUCAGUCACCUUCAGGGAUGCUGGAACAAAUUUUUUCCUUCCUCCUUUCUCCCUCCACCCUUCCUUCCCUCUCAUCCUCUAUUCCUUCCCUUUUUUCCCCUUUCCUCCCCCUUCCCCUUCUCCUUUCUUCCAUUCUUCUCUUCCUUCCUUCUUUCCUUUUUUCAUUUUCUUCCUUCCUCCUUUUCUCCUUUAUUCUCUCCCCCUUUUUCUUCCUUUUUUCCUUCCUCCCUUCCCCCGUCCCUCCCUCCAUUCCUCUUUCCCUCCUUUUCUCCCUCCCUUCCUUCCUCUCUCCCUACUAUUAUGGGCCAGAACUUGAAACAAGAUGCUAAGUCAAUGGAAUUGAUAGAGACAAUGGUUAUUUAGCUUGGUGCUUAACAGUUCUCUAGUUCAGUACAAGUACUUAGUACUUAAUAUAGUUCUAUAAGAUUCACACCUUUGAUAAGAGACCAUAUACGUUAAAACAAGCUUAUCCUCCUUCCCUUCUACCCUGAAACCAAGAUCCUGAAGGCCUUCCGAAAAACUAGCCCGGCCCUAGGAAAGGAGACAAGACUUUGAAGGAAACUAUAAAGGAUUUGGACUUUAACCCCUGGCUACUCAUGUGGUGAUUACUGAACUGAAACGAAGGCUGCUCCCAGAGACCUCAAGAAAACCUCAACAGAGAAUAUUACAUUUUAGAGAGAAUAUUACACCCUCCCUCCCUCCAUUCCUCCUUUCUUUCCUUCUUUUUAUCAAUUGAGUACCUGCUUCUUAUAAAACAUUAUACUAGGUAUGGUGAAUGAGCAAAGAAGGAUAAACUAUCUUAUCCUUCCAGGAUUUUACAGUCUAGUCAGAGCAGAUUAGGCAAAGUAACAAUUAUAUAAAGGAGUAAAAGCCAAAAGAAAGAUGCAAAAUUCCAAAGGGAUGUAGAUCUUAGGCUGCUUUAAGAAAAGAAUGUUCGGAAAUAGGGAAGUGGUAGUUAUUUCAUUGUCCUCUGCCUCGCUCAGACCAUACCUGGGUACCAGGUUUUAUGAGAGCAUUCAUGAGACAUCAGUCAGGAAGGUGAAGGCUCUUGUAAUCAUGUUGAGGGUUAAUAGAAAGAAGGAAACAAAAAUUUAUUAACCUACUAUGUGCCAGGCUUUGAUCCUCAGGACAAUCCUAAGAGACAGGUACUAUUAUUAUCCCUAUUUUACAAUUUGGGGAAACUGAGGCAGACAGGCAUUAGAUAACUUGCCCAGAGCUAUGCAGCUGGUAAGUGUAGAAGAUAAAUCAGACCUCAGGAUGAGAGGUUCAGGAAAAGAAGCAUUCACUUUCAGUUGCAUAAUCCGGGAAAGCUUCAUUGAGGACGUGGUACUCAAUUCAAUUCAAUAAAUGCAAAUUUAGUAGGUACUUUCCAGAUACUGUGGAACACACUGGAAAUACAAGUUAAAAUGUAACCCUCAUUAAUUACCAGAACCCAUUGGUAUGACACUCUCCUUCUGAUGUAAACUAAUACUCCAAGCCUGAAAUAAGGAGCUGGGCAGAAUUGGCAAGAGUAGGAGAGAACUUUUCAGGGUUUUGGGUUUUGUUUUUUUGGUGGCGUUGUUGUUGAUGUUGUUUUGUUUUUGAAUUACUGAGUUUUCAGACAUUGUGCACCUCUGUCUCCCAGUUUUGAGAUAGAAGAUGGACGACUGCCAACCUCAUUUCAGGAUACUGGGAAGAAGCUGACAUGAGAGAAGCUAGCUAUCCCCAGCUUGCUAUACUAGAGACUUUGGGGAGUUUCCCCUUGGCUGAGAUCUAGGACUCUAUCUCUUGGAUUAGAUAAGGAAACUGAGGUCCAGCCAGCAGCGGCAAUGGAGGAGGGGGAAGAAAAGCGAGCCCUUGCUGGACACUGCAGUCUGACUUGGCAGAGCUGGAUGGAAUCAUACCUAAGUGUCUGACCCUGGGAGACAGGAAGGACCAAAUGCAAGUCCAGAUGGGAAGGAACAGCUGCAGGGGCAGAGAGAAAGGUUGCAUGCUGCAUCUGGCUCUCCCAGACCCCUUGGCAGACAGCCCAAGCUAGGGAGGGGUCAGCUGGGGACAAAAACAGCUGGUAAAUAUAGAUGGGAGAGAGGAAGCUGAGCAGCCACAGCCUUGUCCCAGGUUCCUUCUGCAGGAAGGGAGGGGAGGGUUGGUGCAGGGGGAAGGAGGACUGGGUGUGGAAGACAUUGAACUGGUGUCCCAGCUCCCCAUUCAGGAGAACAGGAUGACACAUCAUCUAGCUGCUCUUGAGGGUCCUGGUUGUAUAGUCAGUUGCUAUAGGUACAUCUCCCUUUUAAAAUCUAUAGGACACUUCUAUAUUUGUAUGUGUGUGUGUGUGUGUGUGUGUGU